Molecule: non-coding RNA, 786 nt
Filed under: Lucinaea sp. 1 Ridsdale 2152
Lineage: Eukaryota; Viridiplantae; Streptophyta; Magnoliopsida; Gentianales; Rubiaceae
Source: RNAcentral
ACAUCCGGAAGAAUUCCUAUUAGAAUCUUAGUUAUUAAAUAUUAUUUCUUAUCUAGUCAAAGUCGAUAUGAAUUCAAUAUAGAAAAAAAUAGAAUUUCAAAUCAAUAUUGAAUAUUAUAGAACACAACGAUUAAUAGAGCGAUAUAGAAUUUCUAUUUAUUUAUCACUAAUACAAUUCGAAUAUUAUUAAAUUUGAUAUAUCUUUUAUUAUUUUUGAGUUUUAGAUAAUUAACCUUUUGUUUUGGAAUUCAAAUGACUUUUGAACUUCUUUUUAUUGUAUUAUUUUAUUUAAUUCUAUAUCUUUUUUUCGAAUUACGAAUGGUUGGUUAUUAACUAAUGAGCCAUUACCCACCUUCAGUCAUAAAGAGGUAAGUAGGAAAGGCGGAAAUUAAGACGACAAAAAGAGAAUCGACCCUUCAAGUAUUCCAAAUUACAUCGAAAAUGUGGCAGGUAGAUAUCUAGGAUAUAUAUCCAUCUAUAUUGAAUUACAGAUACAGAAAUGGUACAAUCAUAGUCGAUUGGACCAAAUCCAAAUAUGGUUCUCCUAUAGUCCUAUAGAAAAUAGGUAAGAAGGGGGUAGGUAAGAGAUAAAAGAAAACACUUUUUCGAGAUAGGAAUCCGGUAUCUAAUGAAUUCAACGAUUUCAGUAUAAAUGACAGAAAAAAAGAAACGACAUCACAAUGAAAUUCGAAUCUCACGCAAAAUGAGGGGGGAUAUGGCGAAAUUGGUAGACGCUACGGACUAAUUAGAUGGGCUUGCUAUGGAAACCUACGAGUGAGACUUCCA